This 21-nucleotide microRNA is filed under the name Gadus morhua (Atlantic cod). Its description in RNAcentral is "Gmo-Mir-11275_3p (mature (co-guide))". Lineage: Eukaryota; Metazoa; Chordata; Actinopteri; Gadiformes; Gadidae. The record is from RNAcentral.
CUGUUGGGUCAGGGGCGGAGA